Molecule: non-coding RNA, 126 nt
Organism: Triticum urartu
Lineage: Eukaryota; Viridiplantae; Streptophyta; Magnoliopsida; Poales; Poaceae
Source: Rfam
AAUCUACUCCCUCCGUCUGAAAAAGUUUGUUUCUCAAAUGGAUGUAUCUAGCAUUAAUUUGGUGCUAGAUACAUCUAUUUGAGGAACAAACUUGGGACAAUUUUUUUCGGGCGGAGGAAGUAUAAA